GAUGAAGAACGUAGCGAAAUGCGAUAAGUAAUGUGAAUUGCAGAAUUCAGUGAAUCAUCGAAUCUUUGAACGCACCUUGCGCCCUUUGGCCAUUCCGAAGGGCAUGCCUGUUUGAGUAUCAUGAACACCUCAACUCUUCAUGGUUUUCCGUGAUGAGCUUGGACUUUGGGGGUCUUGCUGGCCUAUGGUCAGCUCCUCUAAAAUAAAUCAGCUUGCCAGUGUUUGGUGGGUAUCACAGGUGUGAUAACUAUCUACGCUUGUGGUUUUCCACCAGGUAACCUUCAGCAGUGGAGGUUCGCUGGAGCUCACAGAUGUGUCUCUCCUCAGUGAGGACAGCUCUUUGAAUGUUUGAUCUCAAAUCAGGUAGGACUACCCGCUGAACUUAAGCAUAUAAAUAAGCGGAGGA
This 406-nucleotide unclassified non-coding RNA is filed under the name soil metagenome. Its description in RNAcentral is "partial contains 5.8S ribosomal RNA, internal transcribed spacer 2, and large subunit ribosomal RNA". The stretch from base 1 to 121 matches the Rfam family "5.8S ribosomal RNA", at positions 35 to 154 of the family's 154-position model. The record is from RNAcentral.